AGAAUCAACGCUGGCGGCGUGCCUAACACAUGCAAGUCGAACGAGAAAGUGGAGCAAUCCAUGAGUAAAGUGGCGCACGGGUGAGUAACACGUGACUAACCUACCCUUGAGUGGGGAAUAACCUCGGGAAACCGGGGCUAAUACCGCAUAACACCUACGGGUCAAAGGAGCAAUUCGCUUAAGGAGGGGGUCGCGGCAGAUUAGUUAGUUGGCGGGGUAAUGGCCCACCAAGACGGUGAUCUGUAUCCGGCCUGAGAGGGCGCACGGACACACUGGAACUGAAACACGGUCCAGACUCCUACGGGAGGCAGCAGUGGGGAAUUUGCGCAAUGGGGGAAACCCUGACGCAGCAACGCCGCGUGGAGGAUGAAGUCCCUUGGGACGUAAACUCCUUUCGAUCGGGACAUUAUGACGGUACCGGAAGAAGAAGCCCCGGCUAACUUCGCGCCAGCAGCCGC
RNAcentral lists this ribosomal RNA (458 nucleotides) under uncultured bacterium. Its description in RNAcentral is "SSU rRNA". It matches the Rfam family "Bacterial small subunit ribosomal RNA", at positions 26 to 518 of the family's 1533-position model. The record is from RNAcentral.